AGAUUAACUUAGUGGUGGCGGUUAGGGUGCAAGUGUAUUAUAGGUCUUGCACCAUAUAAGAGCACAUUUGGCCUGUUAUAAUAGGUAAGAUUACCUGCUGAGAAAAAAAAAAUAUAGCAUCUAAUUACAAAAAUACCCUCCUCUAAACUCAGAUCUCCUUCCUGUAAGCUAUGUAGAUUUUCCUCCAAUUUUUUUUUUAAAUAAUCAAUCAUCACGGAUCGUGGAGUGUUGUCUUCGAAGUUAACCCUUUCUGUUUGGUAAUUGCUACUUGGGUGCUUACAUUAUUAGGUCAUGGAUCGUCGAGUGGUGAAGUUUGACUUGCUUAGAGUCUAUGAAUUACAACAUGGCUAUACGGGGGCGACGUAAAGUUUGAGGCGGCGAAGACGGAAAGCUUGCAAAGCGAACUUUUAUUAGAUAGAUUUUGUAUUUAAUUAUCAUCAAACCUUAUUUUGUCAUACGCCGAAUUUAUUAUUUGGUUUUUGUGAGCGAGUUAUUAUUUAAGUAUUGGGAUAUUAUUAAAUUGCGAUUAGAUAUUUGAUUUUGAAAAAUUAAGUUAAUUGAUUUGUUUUGGAAAAGUUUUUGAAAAUAAAAUCAAAACUCAUUUGAAUUCAAGUAAGAACUUGGACUAUUCUGUAUAAGGAAAUAAGGGCUUUUAAUCAGGCACUGUGCCGAACCAGCUUACCUAAAAACAUCUCGGAUUAUUGCCUGGGUGAUGAUGAGCCCUUAUUUCAAAAAUUCACAUCACCCUUUGGAAAAAAAAUCUGAGUUAGUCCCAAACUUGUUGGGUUACUAAUGUGAUUCCCGGUUGAGAAAUUGGGGCGUUACAAAGACGGUGAACAGUUUCUCUUGAGAUGAUAAUGAAGAUGGCUUAUGUUGAGCAUCAUUGUCUUGUCUAUGAUCUUGAGAAUCACUUCUUUGAAGGUUGAGGGUUCCUCUACAACAUCGGCAUAGUGCUCUUCCAAUGUCUAAGUCAAGCUAAGUUGUACGAUCUGCAUUGCUUCUUCUUCAGUAAUACUCCAAAGGCUUUUCUAAUCGUGAGUUCUUCGAUGCUUGUUGAUGACUUGUCCCUUGAAUCAUCUGGUCAUGUCGCGCCCUUCCUUGAUUUGGUUGUUAGCAACAACCUAGGAGCAUAUCUUUCAAGUGUAUGGAGAUAUGGCUUUGUGAGAAUCUUAGUCGAUGACAAUCCUUGAUUCUUCUCCAUGGAUCUUUACUCUACACUUGUUAAGGUGUUAGUAUUCAUAGAUUAUGCUCUAAUACCAAUUGAGAUAAUCAAAAGUAGCACAAUAAAGAGGGGUUUGAAUUGUGCCAUAAAAAAACUUGGUUUUUCGAACAGUUAAAAGCAUUGGUAUCGUUUUGUGCAGCAGAUAAGUGAGUAUAGAUAAAGAAUCAAGGGACACCAUUAUUUUUAUCCUGGUUCACCCCCAAAAUGAUAGGGCUACAUCUAGUCCUCGGCUAUACCAAGAUUUCAUUAUGCCAGUGUCAAGCACUUCUCCUUACAAGUACUAUCGUUCAUGCCUCUUUAGACAUUGUUGAGUAUUCUUUUGCCACUGCCUCUCCAGACAUAACAAGUAUUCUUUUGGCACUGUCUCUCCAGGCAUUACAAGUAUUCUUAAGACUUUUCCUUACAAGUAUUUUCAGGACUUCUCCUUACAAAGUAUUAAACAAGACUUCUGCUUAAACGAUCUAUUACAAGAUCGUCUACUUCUACAAGGUUUUCUUCUUCUAAGAGUGAUGGUAGAAACAUUUCAUUCCAUGAAUCAUAAAGUAUUAAGGAUAAGAUAUGACUCUGAGAGUAUACUUUAUGUUCUAUUACAUGAGAGAUUAAGUAAUGGAAAAUAAUGAGAAUUCUCUCAUCUUGAAGCAGAUGUCAAUGACAGACUCUUCUGAUUAUGAGUGAUGAUGAAAUUUUGUAUAUAUAUUGGAGGAUAGCUCAAAGAUAAAGAAUGGACAAGGAAUUUUGUAUAUUAAACUCUAUUUUUACAAUGAAAAGAUAAAUUGCACCUGCCAAGAAUUGAUUCAUAGACCUAAGCAUUUCAACUCAUAUUUCUCCUAGCUCUUAACAUUUGAGCUAUCAUUCGAGGACAAAAACACUUAUACUUUUCUAAUUUAUUAAAAUAAAUACUUCAUAAAAUAUCACAUGUAAGUGAACUAAAAUGUGAAAAAUGGUGCCAACAAAUUCCUGAUUUUUUAGUAUUUAGUUGGUAGAUAAUUGUACUGAUGAAGUAUUUAGUCAAGGGUAAAUCUUUAUGGGCAAUUAGAUAAUUGUUAUUCUCACCCAUUUCUCAUCUAGUUCACCCUUCUUAAAAUGGUGAGAAGAUAAAAAUGUCAUUAAUGAAAAAGCAAAACUACUAAAAUGUCAUUAGUGAAAGAAAAAAAAUAACAACUCCACCCCAUCCUCUCUCCUCUUCCUCUUCCUUCCUUCACGAACACCACUCAUCUUCAUUUCAUCUUCAUUCUAUCCUUAUCUCAUCUUCAUUCUAUUUUCAAACUCAUCUCCAUCUUCUCCUCUCUCAUUUUUUUUUUCUAUCAAUGUAGCUCAUUUCCAUUUGUCCAUCAUCGUCGCUAUUACAGUUGUCCUUUUCAUAUUUUUUUUCUAUUAUUGGAAAAAUUAUUUGCUUAGAAAAAUUUAACUAUUCAGAUCUCAACGCAUCGAAGAGACCAAAUCUAUAUGGUGGAAAUAAUCUAGCGGGUAAUAAUAGACAUAUUGAAAAAUUGCCGUUAUUAUGGGUCCAAAUAUACGAAUGUCGAUCAGUACUAUUUAUCUGACCACUAAUUCUAAGAUUUAAAGACGCGUGUCACAAAAGAUACUGUCAAUAGCCUGAAACGACACUCAUUACACGUUGUCUUGUGCCCUUGAAAGCAACUCGUGAUAUAUUUUAUUUUUUAAAAAUUGCCUAUCACUAACCUCGUGAUCAUAUGACAAUGACAAUCGAUUUUGUGUCAAGCACUCAAGGCUCUCCUCCCCAGAGGCUCGGACACGAACACAACUUACACAAGGGGUGUGGUAUAGAUUUGUGUGUCUCUCUAUUGGGAAAUUAUUUUUUCCCCUCACUUCUUUUAAAGUUUAGGUUCUAACAUAUUGUAGUCUAGAUGAAUUAAACACCACUUGAUUUUGAAAAUUAAAUUAGGUUAGAUGAAUUUGAAAUAAAUUGGUUUAUUAUCUAUGAAAUAAGGAUUAAUAUGAUAAAGCUUGAUUCCCCUUAUUAAGGUUUUGGGUUCGAGUCUUGUGGAUGGAGAACACUCCAGUUGAAAAAGUUAGUCACACUAUAAUGUAGAUAUUCCUCACUCAAAGAGGAUUAUCUCUGAAGAAUGACACUUGUCUUAAAAAAAAUUCUUUCAUUUUUAGUAAAUAAUUAAUUGUCUUUUUUUAAAAUGUUACUUAAAUAAAUACUAGUAUGGAUAGCAUAAAUGAUACUUGAUGAAUUAAAAUUUCUCAAGUUUUGUGUUCAAAUCUUACCGGUAACUAGAUACCAAUAAAUAAAUAAAAUUUUGAAAUUUAAACAUAUCGUAAUUUUUAAGGGUCGUCUAAAUGACGCAUGUUGGUUACUAAUAACACACAACUCAAUGAACCAAUAAUUUUUUUUAUAAAUAAAUAAAAUAUAAAAAUUUUAACUCACUUAUCUUCAAUGCGAUUAGAGAAUGAGUUAUUUAACCCAAAUUUUCUCAUGAGUUAUUUAGGCAACCCUAAUUUUUUAAAAUUCUAAUUUGAAACCAUCAAAUUGCUUUACGGUUUUGUUUUAUUUACACUACACAUGCUUAAUUUUAUUUUCACCUACUUAAUUGUAUAUCUCCUUUUUUUUCACUUCCUUGGUAGUUUGUGAAUUAAAGUUUAUUGAGCUCUUUACCAUCCUUCGUCAAUCUCUAUAUAUGCCAGGUCCUUGAGCACAAGUGCACAACCAUUCACCACCAUAGUUGAAAUCCAUAUCUUCACUAGCCAAAAAUAGUGUGAUCACCGAACUCACCAAGCAAGGCCAUGUCGAAGGUGGUUUGUGUCACUGGAGCCAGCGGCGCCAUCGGAUCAUGGGUGGUUAAGCUCCUCCUCGACCGUGGCUACACCGUCCACGCCACCGUCCAAGAUCUCAGUAACAAUCAAACGCCUUACUUCUUUCUUACAUAAACAAGAGAGUUUGAAGGUGGUUUGUGUCACUGGAGCCAGCGGCGCCAUCGGAUCAUGGGUGGUUAAGCUCCUCCUCGACCGUGGCUACACCGUCCACGCCACCGUCCAAGAUCUCAGUAACAAUCAAACGCCUUACUUCUUUCUUACAUAAACAAGAGAGUUUCAUUCACAGCAUUUUUCUUACACCCCAUUUUCAUGCAUAUGGUAUAAAAGGAAGAUAAUUCUCUUCUUUUUGUCCUAAUCACAUGGGAUGUAAGUUCUCUGUUCUCACUCCCUUGUAACAACAUGCAGUUGAAAUUCAAGGGUAGGAUAAUAAUAUAUAAAUUAUAAGGGAAACAUUGACUAUAACAUUAAAAAUAACAAUAAAAAUCAGCAUUAGCAUAAAUUUAUCAAUUAACUUUGUGGAGAUAAUGUUGUGACGUGUUGCAGAGGAUGAAAAAGAGACCAAACAUCUGGAGGCAAUGGAAGGAGCUAAGGGCCGUCUCCGCCUCUUCGAGAUGGACCUUCUUGACACCAACUCCAUCGCCACCACCGUGAAGGGUUGUAAUGGCGUCAUACACCUUGCCUGUCCUAAUGUCAUUGGCCAAGUCACAGAUCCAGAGGUUAAAAAAAUUAAAUUUUCAUCACAAGAAAAAACUUGAGUGUAGUGGGAAAUUGGUCUACGAAAAUGUUGGUCAUUGCUACGCAGUAAUGUAGAUAAAGUUAGUUUUCAUGACGACAUUCUUAUCUUAAAAAAACUAAUUUGACCGACAUCGUAAACAAUUAAAAAUGAUCAACGGACAUGUUUUAAGUUCAAAGACGAGCUUGCUGAUGUCAAACACUUAUGAGUACCAAUUUCAUGGUCACUAGAAAAACUAAUUGAUACGAGAAAAAAUAAAGAAAAUAAGAAAUUGAGUGUGAAAAAAUAAAGUAAAAGGAUAGAAAUUGAGACAUGUGGGUGUGCACGUGCAGAAACAAAUAUUGGAACCGGCAAUAAAAGGGACAGUAAAUGUUCUGAAGGCGGCGAAGGAAGCAGGGGCGGAGCGGGUGGUGGCGACUUCGUCUAUCUCCGCCAUCACGCCGAGUCCGAAUUGGCCAGCUGAUAAGAUCAAGGGAGAGGACUGUUGGACGGAUCUUGAAUACUGCAAGGAAAAGGGGGUGAGUUUUUUUUUCCUUUUCUUUUUUUAAUGUGUUUUUAAUUAAUUGACAAUAUCCUGCUCAUGAGAUAUUCUUAGUUCUUACCCCUAGAUAGAUGAAAAUUUAUUUCUCUUUUUAACGAUUUUCUUUGUCUUUUUCUCUGUUCUUUUCAGUACAAGCAUAAUUUCACUGUGAUAUUUCUGAGUCAAAUAAUUUUUUUCCAUCUAAAAGUUAAAUUUUAUUUGAUCCUUUAAAAAAAUAGAUUAACUUAGUGGUGGCGGUUAGGGUGCAAGUGUAUUAUAGGUCUUGCACCAUAUAAGAGCACAUUUGGCCUGUUAUAAUAGGUAAGAUUACCUGCUGAGAAAAAAAAAAUAUAGCAUCUAAUUACAAAAAUACCCUCCUCUAAACUCAGAUCUCCUUCCUGUAAGCUAUGUAGAUUUUCCUCCAAUUUUUUUUUUAAAUAAUCAAUCAUCACGGAUCGUGGAGUGGAGAUAGCUAGAUACUCAACCCCCUCACUCCCACUGCCACCACCACACGUAACUUCCACCACUGAUGUGAAUCACACACACCAUUCACCAAACCAAUUUAAUAAUGUUUGGUCUUAAUCUCAAACCAAAAUUCUCCACCACCACUGAUUCCAAUACUGGAAUGGGUAUACUACUAGUCUUGUUCCCUCAAGACAAAUCCACCACCACCAACAAAUUGACCUCUCUUUCAGACUUUCACCAUCAAAAUCCCCUCCAAAACACAAUCCGCCAUUUCCAUUUGUGUCCUCCUCUUUACUAUCUCCACCUCCACUACACGGCGACGCUACUCUCUUCUCUAGAAACUCACUUUCGCCCUUCAAAAAAUGGGCAUUCUGUACAGAAGAGGCACCAGAGCAUGUCCGAUCUCCUCAUCUACCACGUCCCCGAUGAAACCCCAAUCGAGGAUUUCCGCCUCUUCCUCCGCCUCCUCCACCGCUCCUCCCUCACCGCCUCAACCGAUGUCAUUGGCCUCCGCUGGACCUGGAAAAGAAAUCCUCCAUGACCCUGGCUGAUGGCGAGUGGCGACGAGCUUUCUACGAGCGACACAGCGGUUCGACGGCGGCGACGGCGAGAUUGAUGGUGGCUUACCUCUGGUGCUCCACCACCUCUCUCUCUAUCGGUGGCUGCGAAUGGAAAUCCCAUAUCUAAAGUUGCUGAGGGAGGAAUGAAGGAAGUUGCAAAGGGCUUUUGUGUCAUUAAAUUAUUAAAUUUAAAAUAUAAUCAAAAAAUAUUUUACCGGAUAAUCAAGUUUCCCUUUACCUCAGUGACACGUGUUGUGAUGGUAUUGGCCCUCAGAGGUAUGGCACCGGUGCAAUACCUAAUGAGUAUUGCUAGGGAUUGCACCUUAUCCUCCA
Molecule: long non-coding RNA, 6614 nt
Filed under: Lotus japonicus
Lineage: Eukaryota; Viridiplantae; Streptophyta; Magnoliopsida; Fabales; Fabaceae
Description: long non-coding RNA (LJAP_LNC000602)
Source: RNAcentral